This 474-nucleotide ribosomal RNA is filed under the name uncultured bacterium. RNAcentral describes it as "bacterial SSU rRNA". It matches the Rfam family "Bacterial small subunit ribosomal RNA", at positions 335 to 801 of the family's 1533-position model. The record is from RNAcentral.
ACUCCUACGGGAGGCAGCAGUAGGGAAUCUUCCACAAUGGGCGCAAGCCUGAUGGAGCAACACCGCGUGAGUGAAGAAGGGUUUCGGCUCGUAAAGCUCUGUUGUUAAAGAAGAACACGUAUGAGAGUAACUGUUCAUACGUUGACGGUAUUUAACCAGAAAGUCACGGCUAACUACGUGCCAGCAGCCGCGGUAAUACGUAGGUGGCAAGCGUUAUCCGGAUUUAUUGGGCGUAAAGAGAGUGCAGGCGGUUUUCUAAGUCUGAUGUGAAAGCCUUCGGCUUAACCGGAGAAGUGCAUCGGAAACUGGAUAACUUGAGUGCAGAAGAGGGUAGUGGAACUCCAUGUGUAGCGGUGGAAUGCGUAGAUAUAUGGAAGAACACCAGUGGCGAAGGCGGCUACCUGGUCUGCAACUGACGCUGAGACUCGAAAGCAUGGGGUAGCGAACAGGAUUAGAUACCCUGGUAGGAAAGCG